RNAcentral lists this ribosomal RNA (253 nucleotides) under uncultured bacterium. Its description in RNAcentral is "partial 16S ribosomal RNA". It matches the Rfam family "Bacterial small subunit ribosomal RNA", at positions 524 to 776 of the family's 1533-position model. The record is from RNAcentral.
UACGGAGGAUGCAAGCGUUAUCCGGAAUGAUUGGGCGUAAAGCGUCCGCAGGUGGCUGUGUAAGUCUGCUGUUAAAGAGUCUAGCUCAACUAGAUACAAGCAGUGGAAACUACACGGCUAGAGUACGUUCGGGGCAGAGGGAAUUCCUGGUGUAGCGGUGAAAUGCGCAGAUAUCAGGAAGAACACCCGUGGCGAAGGCGGCUCUCUGGGACGGUACUGACGCUGAGACGCGAAAGCGUGGGGAGCGAACAGG